Molecule: ribosomal RNA, 496 nt
Filed under: uncultured bacterium
Lineage: Bacteria
Description: partial 16S ribosomal RNA
Rfam family: Bacterial small subunit ribosomal RNA
Source: RNAcentral
AUGAACGCUGGCGGCGUGCCUAAUACAUGCAAGUCGAGCGAACAGACGAGGAGCUUGCUCCUCUGACGUUAGCGGCGGACGGGUGAGUAACACGUGGAUAACCUACCUAUAAGACUGGGAUAACUUCGGGAAACCGGAGCUAAUACCGGAUAAGAUAUUGAACCGCAUGGUUCAAUAGUGAAAGACGGUUUUGCUGUCACUUAUAGAUGGAUCCGCGCCGCAUUAGCUAGUUGGUAAGGUAACGGCUUACCAAGGCAACGAUGCGUAGCCGACCUGAGAGGGUGAUCGGCCACACUGGAACUGAGACACGGUCCAGACUCCUACGGGAGGCAGCAGUAGGGAAUCUUCCGCAAUGGGCGAAAGCCUGACGGAGCAACGCCGCGUGAGUGAUGAAGGUCUUCGGAUCGUAAAACUCUGUUAUUAGGGAAGAACAAAUGUGUAAGUAACUAUGCACGUCUUGACGGUACCUAAUCAGAAAGCCACGGCUAACUACGUG